AUUUAUUUAUUCCGUGAAACUUUGCAAAAACAUAAAUAACUGAAUUGACAAAACAACAAACCGUGACGCAGAGAGAAACAAAACACUACUCAAAAUAUAAUAACCCACAAAACCCAGGAAGAAAAACCCCCAACUUAAAUAUGAUCUCCAAUUAGAGACAACGAGGACCAGCUGCCUCCAAUUGAAGAUCAACCUAAAAAACAACAACAUAGAAAUAGAAAACUAGAACUAAACAUAGCUAUAGAAAACAUAGAACAAAACACCCCUGUCACGCCCUGACCUACUCCACCAUAGAAAAUAACAUCUUACUAUGGUCAGGACAUGACACUGUCUCUCUCUCUCUCUCUACCUCUGCCUCCCUCUCUCUCCAUCUCUCUCUCUACCUCUGCUUCCCUCUCUCUCUCUCUCUAUACCUCUGCUCCCCCCUCUCUCUCUCUCUGUCUCCCUCUCUUUUGCGAGAGAGAGAGAGAGAGAGAGAGAGAGAGAGAGAGAGAGGUGUAGAGGGAGGGAAGCAAGCAGAGGUGUAGAGAGAGAGAGGGAAGCAGAGGUGUAGAGAGAGAGAGAGAGGGAAGCAGAGGUAGAGAGAGAGAGAGAGAGGGAAGCAGAGGUAGAGAGAGAGAUGGAGAGAGAGGGAAGCAGAGAUGGAGAGAGAGGGAAGCAGAGAGAGAGAGAGAGAGAGGGAAGCAGAGGUAGAGAGAGAGAUGGAGAGAACAAUAGAGACAGAGAAAAAGACAGAGCAGCCAACCCCUCAGGACUAAAUACACCUCAGAAGAACGACCAAACAACUAAAAGGUACAGAAACAAAUUCACUUGAAUGUGGUCAGAGCGCCCCCAGGUGGCCGAGGAGGGUGUUAACUGUCUCAUUAAGUUUCAUAAGACGAUCAGUAGGCAAUCAUCACUCUGAAGACAAAUAAUACAGACAAUAUGAGAGGCACAGGCUGUAUCCCAAAUAACACAUCACAGGCUGUUUCCCAAAUAACACAUCACAGGCUGUAUCCCAAAUAACACAUCACAGGCUGUUUCCCAAAUAACACAUCACAG
This 1041-nucleotide long non-coding RNA is filed under the name Salmo salar (Atlantic salmon). RNAcentral describes it as "lncRNA (ENSSSAG00000089606.1)". Lineage: Eukaryota; Metazoa; Chordata; Actinopteri; Salmoniformes; Salmonidae. The record is from RNAcentral.